Molecule: transfer RNA, 76 nt
Filed under: Rosa chinensis
Lineage: Eukaryota; Viridiplantae; Streptophyta; Magnoliopsida; Rosales; Rosaceae
Description: tRNA RchiOBHm_Chr6g0254501
Rfam family: tRNA
About the family: Transfer RNA (tRNA) molecules are approximately 80 nucleotides in length.
Source: RNAcentral
GUUCUUCAAUAGCUCAGUGGUAGAGCAGUCAGCUAUUAUCUGACUGGUUGUUGGGUCCAAAUCCGAAUUUGGGAGA